This 550-nucleotide ribosomal RNA is filed under the name uncultured bacterium. Its description in RNAcentral is "bacterial SSU rRNA". It matches the Rfam family "Bacterial small subunit ribosomal RNA", at positions 355 to 896 of the family's 1533-position model. The record is from RNAcentral.
UAGGGAAUCUUCGGCAAUGGGGGGAACCCUGACCGAGCAACGCCGCGUGAGUGAAGAAGGUUUUCGGAUCGUAAAGCUCUGUUGUUAAGGAAGAACGAGUGUGAGAAUGGAAAGUUCAUACUGUGACGGUACUUAACCAGAAAGGGACGGCUAACUACGUGCCAGCAGCCGCGGUAAUACGUAGGUCCCGAGCGUUGUCCGGAUUUAUUGGGCGUAAAGCGAGCGCAGGCGGUUAGAUAAGUCUGAAGUUAAAGGCAGUGGCUCAACCAUUGUAGGCUUUGGAAACUGUUUAACUUGAGUGCAGAAGGGGAGAGUGGAAUUCCAUGUGUAGCGGUGAAAUGCGUAGAUAUAUGGAGGAACACCGGUGGCGAAAGCGGCUCUCUGGUCUGUAACUGACGCUGAGGCUCGAAAGCGUGGGGAGCGAACAGGAUUAGAUACCCUGGUAGUCCACGCCGUAAACGAUGAGUGCUAGGUGUUAGGUCCUUUCCGGGACUUAGUGCCGCAGCUAACGCAUUAAGCACUCCGCCUGGGGGAGUACGACCGCAGGUUG